Bombus pyrosoma is the source of this 1482-nucleotide long non-coding RNA. RefSeq lists it as uncharacterized. The record is from RefSeq and is a predicted model, not a curated record. Lineage: Eukaryota; Metazoa; Arthropoda; Insecta; Hymenoptera; Apidae. The transcript has 3 exons.
AGGAGAAGAUUAAAAGUCAGAGGGAAACGAAAUGGGGAGAGUAAAGGAUAAAAUGUACCAAUGAAAGUGGUUAUAAGCACUUAUAGAAAAACAGAAAAGAAGUAGGGGAAAGAUGAGUGAAAAAUUGAAGGUAAAAAGAGAUUGAAAUAGACAGACAAACAUUACAUGGAAAAUUACAAGGAAAAUACAAUGAGGUGUGUAAGGAGAUGGAAUCACACACACAACUACCGAAAUACUUACAGAACAGAAAAGAAAAUGUCGAUACAAAAAUUAAAGAUAAGUAUCACGUAUGAAAAUCUGGAAGACGACAAUAAAUGUUGAGAUAGUGAAAAGGGGAAGAAGUGUAUGCUAUGCAAAGAUACACAGGAAUACUAACCUACCUUUCACAUGCGAAGAACUAAAUAAAAUCACGUUUAAGGAACGGGGAGAUAGUUGCAGAGGAGUUCAAAGAAGAAGUGGUGGAAUGUUGCAGGCAAUUGGAAUUGUUUAAGGAAGCAGAUGUUUACAAAAUCGUCAAUACGACGCUUUCAAAAGUUUCCGGCCAGGCGUAUCUCCAAAUGUAUUCAGAGUUUAUUACGCUUUAUUUGCGUUGCAUACGGAUGUCAACAUAUCAGAAUUAGUUACUAAUGCGUCGUCGCAGCACUUAAGGAAGACAUGAAAAUACUUCUAUUGAUUAUCGGGAGAAUAUCGAAAUCCGUGAGGAAGGAAUUGCUAAUAUUAGUCGCCCGACUGUGACAAAACGUUUAGAUCUUUUAGCUAGAUCAGGAAUGGCAGAGGACAAUGUAGGAGACGUCCUGUUGGAAAAAUAUGAUGUGAGAUAUCAGAUACCAACAUUAAAAUACGAUGGAGGAAAUAUAAUAGUUUUGGCCGUAUUUUUUACUCAAAGGAUCGGUCCACUUUUAGGAAUUGAAUUAAAAACGGAAAUUAUGCACAGCAUCAUGCAUCGAGAUAUCUGAUCGGAAACUUUUGCACACCACUGUUAACUACGUUAACUAUUAACUCCGACGUAACUAUAUAUUCAAAAACCCAUAUCAAAACCUUGACGCAAUUUAUUUAAUUGAGUAAAUUUCAGAUAGUAAAAUUGAGUAUUUUUUGUUUGGAAAACUCGUAAGUAUUUAUAAGUUUUAUAAUUUCAAAAAGGGUUCAAGAAUUAAACUGGGAAAUUAUGGAUCAUCUCCAUAUAUUGAUUGACCUAGCAGCAUCUGAUUCAGCUCGUUGCAGAAUAUCUUCAUUUAUUACUUAAAAUAACGAAAACAUCUGCAGUGUUGAAUAUCAAUGGAACAUCUUAUAUGUUAAUUAAUACGUAAAGGUAUAUAGUAUAUGUACUUCGAUUUACGCAUCAGAAUUUUGAAAUAGAAAUUCCGUGUACCAAAGAUUAUAGUUUCAAGGUGAAAUUUAAUUUCAAACUUAGCGAUCUUCAAUCAAUGUGCCACAAAAAUUUCUAAAGCAUGUAAUAAUUUAUUCAAUUAUAUUGACAAAUAA